AAACUAUUUUCAGUUUCAGGCGCAAUAAGCUUAAAAGGGAAUCCUGUUAAACUCAGGAGCGGUCCCGCCGCUGUAAUCCUGAUUUCUCUGUCAGAAAUAAGCGCCUUUACCGGUAACAUGCCACUGUUCAUAUCUGGAUGGGAAGGCUGGUAAAGGUCAGGAAAGCCAGAAGACCUGCCUGUACUAAUAGUAGUAA
RNAcentral lists this non-coding RNA (196 nucleotides) under Nitrospirota bacterium. The record is from RNAcentral. Lineage: Bacteria; Pseudomonadati; Nitrospirota.